RNAcentral lists this ribosomal RNA (250 nucleotides) under uncultured prokaryote. RNAcentral's name for it is "partial 16S ribosomal RNA". It matches the Rfam family "Bacterial small subunit ribosomal RNA", at positions 524 to 773 of the family's 1533-position model. The record is from RNAcentral.
UACAGAGGCGACCAGCGUUGUUCGGAUUUACUGGGCGUAAAGCGUGCGCAGGCGGCCGACCUUGUCGGAUGUGAAAGCCCGGGGCUCAGCCCCGGAAGUGCAUCCGAAACCGGACGGCUGGAGACCGGGAAGGGAGUCUGGAACACAUUGUGUAGCGGUGAAAUGCGUUGAUAUCAUGUGGAACACCGGAAGCGAAGGCGAGACUCUGGAACGGAUCUGACGCUCAUGCACGAAAGCGUGGGGAGCGAAC